RNAcentral lists this ribosomal RNA (253 nucleotides) under uncultured bacterium. RNAcentral's name for it is "partial 16S ribosomal RNA". It matches the Rfam family "Bacterial small subunit ribosomal RNA", at positions 524 to 776 of the family's 1533-position model. The record is from RNAcentral.
UACGUAGGCAGCAAGCGUUGUUCGGAGUUACUGGGCGUAAAGGGUGUGUAGGCGGUUCUUUAAGUUUGGUGUGAAAUCUCCCGGCUCAACUGGGAGGGUGCGCCGAAUACUGAGGGACUAGAGUACGGGAGAGGAAAGUGGAAUUCCUGGUGUAGCGGUGAAAUGCGCAGAUAUCAGGAAGAACACCAGCGGCGAAGGCGGCACUCUGGGCUGGUAUUGACGCUGAGGAGCGAAAGUGUGGGUAGCAAACAGG